RNAcentral lists this ribosomal RNA (274 nucleotides) under uncultured bacterium. RNAcentral describes it as "partial 16S ribosomal RNA". It matches the Rfam family "Bacterial small subunit ribosomal RNA", at positions 523 to 796 of the family's 1533-position model. The record is from RNAcentral.
AUACGUAGGUCCCGAACGUUGCGCGAAAUUACUGGGCGUAAAGGGUCCGUAGGCGGUCUGGUAAGUGGAAGGCGAAAGCCUGGGGCUCAACUCCAGAAUUGCCUUCCAAACUGCCGGACUUGAGGCAGGGAGAGGUCGGCGGAAUUCCCGGUGUAGCGGUGAAAUGCGUAGAUGUCGGGAGGAACACCAGUGGCGAAGGCGGCCGACUGGAACUGUCCUGACGCUGAGGGACGAAAGCCAGGGGAGCGAACCGGAUUAGAUACCCUAGUAGUCC